AAAAAGUCCCAGAUUUCACCUAAGAGCAGAGGCUAUCACUCCCAGCUGUAAGUUCUGUGGAGUAAAAGCAUAGGCUGGCAUCUGCAGCAAUUUACAAAUACAGUUCUCCUACCCAUGCCCUUCCCAGAUCUUAGUGUAAUUUAUGCUAGGUUUGGAGCUCUCUGGUGACUCUUUUGGGAAACGAUGCACUUUGGUUUGUCUUAGAUUCGUGUCUUCUCUACUGUUUUUUAAUACUACCUGCCUUGUCAUAAUGUUUUUCAUUUAAAAUAUUAAUGGUGUUAUAGGAAUGUGUCUAUUGAGACAUUGGAAAAAUUUAACUUCAGAGUAUUUCUAUAGAGAAAGAAUGAAAUUAACCCAACCUUAGAU
RNAcentral lists this long non-coding RNA (366 nucleotides) under Pan troglodytes (chimpanzee). RNAcentral's name for it is "long non-coding RNA NONPTRT002195". Lineage: Eukaryota; Metazoa; Chordata; Mammalia; Primates; Hominidae. The record is from RNAcentral.